This 481-nucleotide ribosomal RNA is filed under the name uncultured bacterium. RNAcentral describes it as "bacterial SSU rRNA". It matches the Rfam family "Bacterial small subunit ribosomal RNA", at positions 28 to 507 of the family's 1533-position model. The record is from RNAcentral.
GAUGAACGCUAGCGGCAGGCUUAAUACAUGCAAGUCGAACGGGAAUUGGGUAGCAAUACCUGAUGAUAGUGGCGCACGGGUGCGUAACGCGUAUGCAACCUACCUUUAACAGGGGGAUAGCCCGGAGAAAUUCGGAUUAAUACCCCAUAGUAUUAUGGAGAGGCAUCUUUUCAUGAUUAAAGUUCCGGCGGUUAAAGAUGGGCAUGCGUGCCAUUAGCUAGUUGGUGAGGUAACGGCUCACCAAGGCGACGAUGGUUAGGGGUCCUGAGAGGGUUAUCCCCCACACUGGUACUGAGACACGGACCAGACUCCUACGGGAGGCAGCAGUAAGGAAUAUUGGUCAAUGGGCGGAAGCCUGAACCAGCCAUGCCGCGUGCAGGAAGACGGCCUUAUGGGUUGUAAACUGCUUUUGUCAGGGAAUAAACCCUCGUUUGCGAACGAGGCUGAAGGUACCUGAAGAUAAGCAUCGGCUAACUCCGUG